RNAcentral lists this ribosomal RNA (307 nucleotides) under uncultured cyanobacterium. RNAcentral describes it as "partial 16S ribosomal RNA". The record is from RNAcentral. Lineage: Bacteria; Bacillati; Cyanobacteriota.
GGAGUAUGGGCCGUGUCUCAGUCCCAUUGUGGCUGAUCAUCCUCUCAAACCAGCUACUGAUCGUCGCCUUGGUAGUCCAUUACACCACCAACUAGCUAAUCAGAUGCAGACUCAUCCUUGAGCACCGGAGUUUUCAAGAAUACCAUUUCAGGUACGCUCAUAUGGGGUAUUAGCAGUCGUUUCCAACUGUUGUCCCCCUCUCAAGGGUAGAUUCUCUACACAUUACUCACCCGUCCGCCACUUUCCACUCACCGAAGUGAGCUUCUCGUUCGACUUGCAUGUAUGAAGCACGCCGCCAGCGUUCGUC